RNAcentral lists this ribosomal RNA (500 nucleotides) under uncultured bacterium. RNAcentral describes it as "partial 16S ribosomal RNA". It matches the Rfam family "Bacterial small subunit ribosomal RNA", at positions 30 to 523 of the family's 1533-position model. The record is from RNAcentral.
AUUGAACGCUGGCGGCAAGCCUAACACAUGCAAGUCGAGCGGAUGAAGGAAGCUUGCUUCCCGAUUCAGCGGCGGACGGGUGAGUAAUGCCUAGGAAUCUGCCUAUUAGUGGGGGAUAACUCGGGGAAACUCGGGCUAAUACCGCAUACGUCCUACGGGAGAAAGUGGGGGAUCUUCGGACCUCACGCUAAUAGAUGAGCCUAGGUCGGAUUAGCCAGUUGGUGAGGUAACGGCUCACCUAGGCGACGAUCCGUAGCUGGUCUGAGAGGAUGAUCAGCCACACUGGAACUGAGACACGGUCCAGACUCCUACGGGAGGCAGCAGUGGGGAAUAUUGGACAAUGGGCGAAAGCCUGAUCCAGCCAUGCCGCGUGUGUGAAGAAGGUCUUCGGAUUGUAAAGCACUUUAAGUUGGGAGGAAGGUCUGUAAGCUAAUAUCUUGCAGUCUUGACGUUACCAACAGAAUAAGCACCGGCUAACUCUGUGCCAGCAGCCGCGGUAA